This 310-nucleotide unclassified non-coding RNA is filed under the name Hevea brasiliensis (rubber tree). The record is from RNAcentral. Lineage: Eukaryota; Viridiplantae; Streptophyta; Magnoliopsida; Malpighiales; Euphorbiaceae.
UGAUCAGAUGUUGAUGAUUCGUGGCAUUGCGCUGUAUCUUGACAGGACAUAUGUCAAGCAAACGCCAAGUGUGUGCUCAUUGUGGGACAUGGGGUUGCAACUUUUCAGAAAACAUUUAUCUUUAUCUUCAGAGGUUGAGCACAAAACUGUUACGGGUCUGUUAAGAAUGAUCGAGAAAGAAAGGCUAGGUGAAGCAAUUAAUCGGACUCUCCUCAACCACCUGUUGAAGAUGUUUACCGCACUAGGAAUUUACUCAGAAAGCUUUGAAAAGCCAUUCCUUGAAUACACUUCUGAGUUUUAUGCUGCUGAA